This 497-nucleotide ribosomal RNA is filed under the name uncultured bacterium. RNAcentral describes it as "partial 16S ribosomal RNA". It matches the Rfam family "Bacterial small subunit ribosomal RNA", at positions 28 to 507 of the family's 1533-position model. The record is from RNAcentral.
GAUGAACGCUGGCGGCGUGCCUAAUACAUGCAAGUCGAGCGAACAGACGGGGAGCUUGCUCCUCUGACGUUAGCGGCGGACGGGUGAGUAACACGUGGAUAACCUACCUAUAAGACUGGGAUAACUUCGGGAAACCGGAGCUAAUACCGGAUAAUAUAUUGAACCGCAUGGUUCAAUAGUGAAAGACGGUUUUGCUGUCACUUAUAGAUGGAUCCGCGCCGCAUUAGCUAGUUGGUAAGGUAACAGCUUACCAAGGCAACGAUGCGUAGCCGACCUGAGAGGGUGAUCGGCCACACUGGAACUGAGACACGGUCCAGACUCCUACGGGAGGCAGCAGUAGGGAAUCUUCCGCAAUGGGCGAAAGCCUGACGGAGCAACGCCGCGUGAGUGAUGAAGGUCUUCGGAUCGUAAAACUCUGUUAUUAGGGAAGAACAAAUGUGUAAGUAACUAGGCACGUCUUGACGGUACCUAAUCAGAAAGCCACGGCUAACUACGUG